RNAcentral lists this ribosomal RNA (405 nucleotides) under uncultured Methylobacterium sp. RNAcentral describes it as "bacterial SSU rRNA". It matches the Rfam family "Bacterial small subunit ribosomal RNA", at positions 355 to 775 of the family's 1533-position model. The record is from RNAcentral. Lineage: Bacteria; Pseudomonadati; Pseudomonadota; Alphaproteobacteria; Hyphomicrobiales; Methylobacteriaceae.
UGGGGAAUAUUGGACAAUGGGCGCAAGCCUGAUCCAGCCAUGCCGCGUGAGUGAUGAAGGCCUUAGGGUUGUAAAGCUCUUUUGUCCGGGACGAUAAUGACGGUACCGGAAGAAUAAGCCCCGGCUAAGCUUCGUGCCAGCAGCCGCGGUAAUACGAAGGGGCGUAGCGUUGCUCGGAAUCACUGGGCGUAAAGGGCGCGUAGGCGGCCAUUCAAGUCGGGGGUGAAAGCCUGUGGCUCAACCACAGAAUUGCCUUCGAUACUGUUUGGCUUGAGUAUGGUAGAGGUUGGUGGAACUGCGAGUGUAGAGGUGAAAUUCGUAGAUAUUCGCAAGAACACCGGUGGCGAAGGCGGCCAACUGGACCAUUUACUGACGCUGAGGCGCGAAAGCGUGGGGAGCAAAACA